CGAGGGGCAGCAUGAACUUAGCUUGCUAAGUUUGAUGGCGACCGGCGCACGGGUGAGUAACACGUAUCCAACCUGCCGAUGACUCGGGGAUAGCCUUUCGAAAGAAAGAUUAAUACCCGAUGGCAUAGUUCUUCCGCAUGGUAGAACUAUUAAAGAAUUUCGGUCAUCGAUGGGGAUGCGUUCCAUUAGGUUGUUGGCGGGGUAACGGCCCACCAAGCCUUCGAUGGAUAGGGGUUCUGAGAGGAAGGUCCCCCACAUUGGAACUGAGACACGGUCCAAACUCCUACGGGAGGCAGCAGUGAGGAAUAUUGGUCAAUGGACGAGAGUCUGAACCAGCCAAGUAGCGUGAAGGAUGACUGCCCUAUGGGUUGUAAACUUCUUUUAUACGGGAAUAAAGUGAGGCACGUGUGCCUUUUUGUAUGUACCGUAUGAAUAAGGAUCGGCUAACUCCGUGCCAGCAGCCGCGGUAAUACGGAGGAUCCGAGCGUUAUCCGGAUUUAUUGGGUUUAAAGGGAGCGUAGGCGGACGCUUAAGUCAGUUGUGAAAGUUUGCGGCUCAACCGUAAAAUUGCAGUUGAUACUGGGUGUCUUGAGUACAGUAGAGGCAGGCGGAAUUCGUGGUGUAGCGGUGAAAUGCUUAGAUAUCACGAAG
This 651-nucleotide ribosomal RNA is filed under the name uncultured Bacteroidales bacterium. RNAcentral describes it as "bacterial SSU rRNA". It matches the Rfam family "Bacterial small subunit ribosomal RNA", at positions 63 to 704 of the family's 1533-position model. Lineage: Bacteria; Pseudomonadati; Bacteroidota; Bacteroidia; Bacteroidales. The record is from RNAcentral.